AAAUUGAAGAGUUUGAUCAUGGCUCAGAUUGAACGCUGGCGGCAGGCCUAACACAUGCAAGUCGAGCGGUAGCACAGAGAGCUUGCUCUCGGGUGACGAGCGGCGGACGGGUGAGUAAUGUCUGGGAAACUGCCUGAUGGAGGGGGAUAACUACUGGAAACGGUAGCUAAUACCGCAUAACGUCGCAAGACCAAAGAGGGGGACCUUCGGGCCUCUUGCCAUCAGAUGUGCCCAGAUGGGAUUAGCUAGUAGGUGGGGUAACGGCUCACCUAGGCGACGAUCCCUAGCUGGUCUGAGAGGAUGACCAGCCACACUGGAACUGAGACACGGUCCAGACUCCUACGGGAGGCAGCAGUGGGGAAUAUUGCACAAUGGGCGCAAGCCUGAUGCAGCCAUGCCGCGUGUAUGAAGAAGGCCUUCGGGUUGUAAAGUACUUUCAGCGGGGAGGAAGGCGAUAAGGUUAAUAACCUUGUCGAUUGACGUUACCCGCAGAAGAAGCACCGGCUAACUCCGUGCCAGCAGCCGCGGUAAUACGGAGGGUGCAAGCGUUAAUCGGAAUUACUGGGCGUAAAGCGCACGCAGGCGGUCUGUCAAGUCGGAUGUGAAAUCCCCGGGCUCAACCUGGGAACUGCAUUCGAAACUGGCAGGCUAGAGUCUUGUAGAGGGGGGUAGAAUUCCAGGUGUAGCGGUGAAAUGCGUAGAGAUCUGGAGGAAUACCGGUGGCGAAGGCGGCCCCCUGGACAAAGACUGACGCUCAGGUGCGAAAGCGUGGGGAGCAAACAGGAUUAGAUACCCUGGUAGUCCACGCCGUAAACGAUGUCGACUUGGAGGUUGUGCCCUUGAGGCGUGGCUUCCGGAGCUAACGCGUUAAGUCGACCGCCUGGGGAGUACGGCCGCAAGGUUAAAACUCAAAUGAAUUGACGGGGGCCCGCACAAGCGGUGGAGCAUGUGGUUUAAUUCGAUGCAACGCGAAGAACCUUACCUACUCUUGACAUCCAGAGAACUUAGCAGAGAUGCUUUGGUGCCUUCGGGAACUCUGAGACAGGUGCUGCAUGGCUGUCGUCAGCUCGUGUUGUGAAAUGUUGGGUUAAGUCCCGCAACGAGCGCAACCCUUAUCCUUUGUUGCCAGCGAUUCGGUCGGGAACUCAAAGGAGACUGCCAGUGAUAAACUGGAGGAAGGUGGGGAUGACGUCAAGUCAUCAUGGCCCUUACGAGUAGGGCUACACACGUGCUACAAUGGCGCAUACAAAGAGAAGCGACCUCGCGAGAGCAAGCGGACCUCAUAAAGUGCGUCGUAGUCCGGAUUGGAGUCUGCAACUCGACUCCAUGAAGUCGGAAUCGCUAGUAAUCGUAGAUCAGAAUGCUACGGUGAAUACGUUCCCGGGCCUUGUACACACCGCCCGUCACACCAUGGGAGUGGGUUGCAAAAGAAGUAGGUAGCUUAACCUUCGGGAGGGCGCUUACCACUUUGUGAUUCAUGACUGGGGUGAAGUCGUAACAAGGUAACCGUAGGGGAACCUGCGGUUGGAUCACCUCCUUACCUUAAAGAA
This 1550-nucleotide ribosomal RNA is filed under the name Enterobacter cancerogenus. RNAcentral describes it as "bacterial SSU rRNA". It matches the Rfam family "Bacterial small subunit ribosomal RNA". Lineage: Bacteria; Pseudomonadati; Pseudomonadota; Gammaproteobacteria; Enterobacterales; Enterobacteriaceae. The record is from RNAcentral.